Molecule: long non-coding RNA, 1797 nt
Organism: Nicotiana tabacum (common tobacco)
Lineage: Eukaryota; Viridiplantae; Streptophyta; Magnoliopsida; Solanales; Solanaceae
Source: RefSeq, a predicted model, not a curated record
GUUUUAUUUUUCCUCUAAAUCCUCUCCCGCUUAAACCUUGUAAAGCCGCUCAAACUUUUCAACAAAAUAUUCUAAAUUGGCAAAACAAUAUACGCUCAAACAAUAUACUCUUGAAAUUGGCACCCAGCAUCUCCAUCUCCCUAUAUCUCAACCGAUGACCAAAAUCGUCGGCACCGUCACAGUAGCUGACACCUUCACAAUCACCGAUAAGUUUCUGUCUCUAUUUAUGAUUCGAUUGGGUGGAUUAGGGGUUGAUGAAAAAUUAUUGUUGGUUAGGUCUAGGGUUUCGAUUAUCGAAGUAUAAUCGCCGGCACCAUCUCAAUCGCUGCUAAAUUUUAUUCCGAGCCACUACAAUACUUUUUUUUGGGUUGUUGUUGCUCAAAAAAUAGACUUUAAGACAUCUUGUUAAUUUUUUAAAUUCUAUGAAAUUAAGCAAUGAGAAUAACGCAUCGUCCUUAAGAUUUACUGGCCAUUAUAUGGAAUUUUAUAGUUUCAUAUGUUAUAGUUUCAGUCGUUGUCCUAUGUUAUCUAUUUGAUAUAUAAAAAAUAUAGUAAUGAAGUGCUUUUCUAUCAUUCAAGGCAUUUUGUGCAAUUUGUUCCUUUAUUCUUCACUAAUACCAAUCAUUGUUGUUAGGGACAUGUAUUAGGAAAUUUUUCCCGUUCUUGAUAGUCCCAGUCGUCUAUUUGAUGUGCGAAGUCUUCAACUAUUUAUUCACUUUGAAGUUUAAAGUACACUUUAGCACCUCUGAUGUGCUUCUUAUCUAGUUUUAGCAUUUGUGUGGUGAGAAACUAGGAUUGCAAUUGCUUGAACUAUUAGAUUCAGUUAAUUACAGUUUCGAAACCUCUCUGAGAUAUAUAUUGCUAAAUCCUGUUAUAAGAGAUUUUUUUAUAUUUCUGUAUAAGCACUGCUUCUACCCUUAAAUUUGGAAAUCUCCGAGCAGAAAAAUGUUGCACUCUACUAAAAUAAUAUGUUGGUUUUAAAAGAAAAGACUUGUACAUGAUCAGUUUGAGCAUAUCUACAACUUUUUUCAAUAUCAGGUUUCUGGAGAGUAUAUCUUCUAUUACAAAUAUUUGUCGGACUUUCUUCUCAUGAUAUCUUUUUUUUUUUUUGAUAAGGUAGAUAUUUAAGCAUACAAGGAGGAAACCAGUCAAAUGUCUAAUUUUCUUUACUAUUGCUUAACAAAGUUAUUGAGGCAUUGCUAUUGUUUAACUCUCCAUCUUCUCUUUUUAUAUAGGUUUCGAGAUUGUUACUGGCAUUAUUCUCCUUCACUUUCUUAUCUUCAUCGUCAAAGUAUUUUGCUUACUAGAAGAACUGCACAGUUGUUCAACAACAGUAGAGGGACAACUACACAAUUGUGCAACAACUGCAGAAGGAAAACUAUGCAGUUCUGCUACAACAGUUCUAUUUUUCGGGUAAUUCAGAAGCAAAAAAGGUCUGUGGGCCUACUUUACUGAAAGAUAAUUGGAAACUUUCAAUGGAGAAGACAGUUGAUGUGCCGUUUAAUAAAUGCCUCAAAGUAGCAAUGCCACCUCAGGUGAACAGAUCCCGGACGCCAAUAGUGGACAUGAACAUCAAGGAUACCUAGUGUUACUGAAAAUGCUCAACUUUCUCACGGUCAUACAGUCUAAUGUUCGAUAAUUUAGCGGGAGGAAGAUUUCAAAAUGAUGAAAAAUUGCGGAAAUCAUUUGAAGACCAUCAUUCUUUGGAUUAGUUAUAUAAUGACAUUAGUUAUUUAGUUUGAACAAUAUAUGUUUAUUUUUUUUUAGUUACUAUGACAUUAAUAUCUUUUAUUAGCA